This 305-nucleotide ribosomal RNA is filed under the name uncultured bacterium. Its description in RNAcentral is "bacterial SSU rRNA". It matches the Rfam family "Bacterial small subunit ribosomal RNA", at positions 337 to 659 of the family's 1533-position model. The record is from RNAcentral.
GCCUACGGGGCGCAGCAGUAGGGAAUAUUGCUCAAUGGGGGAAACCCUGAAGCAGCAACGCCGCGUGGAGGAUGAAGGUUUUCGGAUUGUAAACUCCUUUUGUUAGAGAAGAUAAUGACGGUAUCUAACGAAUAAGCAUCGGCUAACUCCGUGCCAGCAGCCGCGGUAAUACGGAGGGUGCAAGCGUUACUCGGAAUCACUGGGCGUAAAGAGCGCGUAGGCGGGAUAGUAAGUCAGAUGUGAAAUCCUAUGGCUUAACCAUAGAACUGCAUUUGAAACUGUUAUUCUAGAGUAUGGGAGAGGUA